GCCAGGAUGGUCUAAUCGGUUAAGGCGUCGCCCCGGUCAGGCGAAGGUUGCGGGUUCAAUCCCCGCUCCGGGCC
RNAcentral lists this transfer RNA (74 nucleotides) under Ixodes scapularis (black-legged tick). RNAcentral describes it as "tRNA-Thr for anticodon GGU". It matches the Rfam family "tRNA". Rfam says of the family: Transfer RNA (tRNA) molecules are approximately 80 nucleotides in length. Their secondary structure includes four short double-helical elements and three loops (D, anti-codon, and T loops). Lineage: Eukaryota; Metazoa; Arthropoda; Arachnida; Ixodida; Ixodidae. The record is from RNAcentral.